RNAcentral lists this ribosomal RNA (452 nucleotides) under uncultured organism. Its description in RNAcentral is "partial 16S ribosomal RNA". It matches the Rfam family "Bacterial small subunit ribosomal RNA", at positions 331 to 799 of the family's 1533-position model. The record is from RNAcentral.
GUACACUCCUGCGGGAGGCAGCAGUGGGGAAUAUUGGACAAUGGGCGCAAGCCUGAUCCAGCCAUGCCGCGUGAGUGAUGAAGGCCCUAGGGUUGUAAAGCUCUUUCACCGGUGAAGAUAAUGACGGUAACCGGAGAAGAAGCCCCGGCUAACUUCGUGCCAGCAGCCGCGGUAAUACGAAGGGGGCUAGCGUUGUUCGGAUUUACUGGGCGUAAAGCGCACGUAGGCGGACUAUUAAGUCAGGGGUGAAAUCCCGGGGCUCAACCCCGGAACUGCCUUUGAUACUGGUAGUCUUGAGUUCGAGAGAGGUGAGUGGAAUUCCGAGUGUAGAGGUGAAAUUCGUAGAUAUUCGGAGGAACACCAGUGGCGAAGGCGGCUCACUGGCUCGAUACUGACGCUGAGGUGCGAAAGCGUGGGGAGCAAACAGGAUUAGAUACCCCUGUAGUCCCAUG